Molecule: transfer RNA, 70 nt
Organism: Cavia porcellus (domestic guinea pig)
Lineage: Eukaryota; Metazoa; Chordata; Mammalia; Rodentia; Caviidae
Rfam family: tRNA
About the family: Transfer RNA (tRNA) molecules are approximately 80 nucleotides in length.
Source: Rfam
GGGGAUUUAGCUCAGUGGCAUAAGCACCUGCCUCGCAAGCAGGCAGUGGUGAGUUCGAGUUCGAUCCCCG